AUGAGCUCCUCGCCGGCGGUCGCGGUCGCGGUCGCGUCUGCGGCCGUGGUAGCGCUGGCUGUCGCUAACCGCGUGCUCUAUAAGCUCGCGCUGGUGCCCCUCAAGUCCUAUCCCUUCCUCCUCGCUCAGCUCACCACGUUCGGGUACGUCACGGUGUACUUUUCAAUACUCUAUGCGAGGUACCGCGCGGGGGUGGUGACGCGGGACAUGCUGACACUGCCGAAGAUCCGGUUCGCUGUCAUCGGCUUGCUAGAGGCUCUUGGGGUCGCCGCUGGAAUGUCUGCGGGAGCUAUGCUGCCUGGCCCUGCUAUUCCUAUACUGUCUCAGUCUUUCCUGGUGUGGCAGCUUAUCUUCUCUGUGUUGCUUUUGGGAAAGACCUACUCUCUGAGACAAAUCAUUGGUUGCUUGCUUGUAACUUCUGGUGUGAUUCUUGCUGUUGCGAGUGGGGCAAAUGAUGGUCAUCUUCUAUCUGGAGUCAAGUUAAUUUGGCCAUUGCUGAUGGUUGUUUCAUCGGCAUUCCAAGCUGGUGCAUCCAUUUUGAAGGAGUCUGUUUUCGUUGAUGGUGCAAAACGUCUUAAAGGGAAACGGCCUGACAUCUUCGUGGUUAAUUCAUUCGGAUCUGGGUUUCAGGCUCUUGUUGUCUUCCUUCUUCUCCCAUUACUUUCUAAUUUGAGGGGGAUUAAGCUUGCUGAGCUUUCUGGCCAUUUAAAUGGUGGUGCUGAGUGCUUCUUAAAUGUUGGGGAGAGCCCAAUUGAUUGUGGAGGUGCUCCAUUCCUACCAUUGCUUUUUAUAUUCGUAAACAUGGCUUUCAACAUCUCGUUGCUUAAUUUGGUAAAGAUGUCGUCUGCCGUGGUUGCUUCACUUACAGCAACUUCCGCCGUGCCAAUAUCAAUCUACAUCCUUUCUCUUCCUUUGCCCUACAUCCCUCAAGGCGCGGAAUUAAGCGCUUCUUUUAUCUUCGGUGGCAUUGUAUUGUUGAUGGGCCUAAUUCUGUAUAACCUUCCCCAAUCAUCUAAAGAGUCAAAGACUGACUAA
This 1035-nucleotide ribosomal RNA is filed under the name Triticum aestivum (bread wheat). RNAcentral's name for it is "partial small subunit ribosomal RNA". The record is from RNAcentral. Lineage: Eukaryota; Viridiplantae; Streptophyta; Magnoliopsida; Poales; Poaceae.